Molecule: transfer RNA, 74 nt
Filed under: Turnera subulata
Lineage: Eukaryota; Viridiplantae; Streptophyta; Magnoliopsida; Malpighiales; Passifloraceae
Rfam family: tRNA
About the family: Transfer RNA (tRNA) molecules are approximately 80 nucleotides in length. Their secondary structure includes four short double-helical elements and three loops (D, anti-codon, and T loops).
Source: Rfam by way of RNAcentral
GCUGGUAUAGCUCAGUUGGUUAGAGCGUGUGGCUGUUAACCACAAGGUCGGAGGUUUUAGCCCUUCUUCUAGCG